RNAcentral lists this ribosomal RNA (2875 nucleotides) under Candidatus Magasanikiibacteriota bacterium. Its description in RNAcentral is "bacterial LSU rRNA". It matches the Rfam family "Bacterial large subunit ribosomal RNA", at positions 1139 to 2913 of the family's 2925-position model. Lineage: Bacteria; Candidatus Magasanikiibacteriota. The record is from RNAcentral.
AGCUCACUGGUCAAGUUGUUUCGCACCGAAAAUGUACCGGGGCUAAACCUAGCACCGAAGAUACGGGCUCUUUGAUUUAUCAAAGAGCGGUAGAGGAGCAUUCCUUGCUCAGCGAAGUCGGAUCCGUCAGGACCGGUGGAGAGCAAGGAAGAGAGGAUGUUGGCAUAAGUAGCAGUAAGGCCAGUGAAAACCUGGCCCACCGUAAACCCAAGGUUUCCUGGGCAACGCAAAUCGUCCCAGGGUUAGUCGGCCCUAAGGUGAGUCACUGAUGUAUGUCAGUGGGUAGCCGAUGGAUGAGGUUGUUAAUAUUCAACCACUUUCGUACUUUUGUUUAACACUGCGCAUUGCGAAGAUGCGAGCGUGUUUUGGUUAUAUUCGUUCCGCAAGGAAGAGACAAAGCCGCAAGGCAGAGUCAAUUCGGGUUGGAGCAGUGCCAAGAAAAGGUGUUAAGCGUUAAAAGUAUGAAAACCGUACCGUAAACCGACACAGGUGGGUGGGCGUAAAUGUGCUAAGGUGUACGAGAGAACCCUCGUUAAGGAACUCGGCAAAAUAGUAUGCGUAACUUCGGAAUAAGCAUUUCCUUGAUUUAUCAAGGACGCAGUUAACGAUUUCAAGCGACUGUUUAACAAAAACACAGGUCCCUGCGAAACCGCAAGGUGAUGUAUAGGGGCUGAUGCNNAAGCGCUGAUGAACGCCGGCGAUAACUAUAAUCGUCCUAAGGUAGCGAAAUACCUUGUCGUGUGAGUUACGACGCGCACGAAUGGCAUAACGACUUGAAAACUCUCUCAACGAGGGACUCGGCGAAAUUGCAAGAGAGGUGAAGAUGCCUCUUACCCGCGGCUAGACGAAAAGACCCCGUGAAGCUUUACUGUAGCUUGAUAUUGGGUUAAGGAUUUAUCUGUUCAGCGUAGGUGGGAGCUCCGAGCAAUCGGAGCGACGAUGAGACACCACCCUGAUGUUUUCUUAAUUCUAAUCUUCCUUGAUUAUCUCAAGGAGGAGACAGUAUCUGGUGGGCAGUUUAUCUGGGGCGGAUGCCUCCUAAAAUGUAACGGAGGCGUUUACAAAGGUGAGCUUGGCUCCGAUGGAAACGGAGCUGGACGUGCAAUGGCAUAAGCUCGCUUUACUGCAAGACCUACAAGUCGCGCAGUCCCGAAAGGGGAACAUAGUGAUCCGACGAUCCAAUGUAGGAUGGUCGAAGCUCAACGGAUAAAAGCUACNNACGAGCCCAAAACGGUGAAGGCCUUUAAUAUUUGUUUUGGAUUUGCGCACGACGCAGGUCCCAGGUAUAAUAGAAACAUAUGUUGAAGGUUAAUCCCGUGGGAAAGCAAUGUUCCGAAGCUGAAAAGGCAUAUGCGGCCGGAUUUCUUGAUGCUGAUGGCGCCAUUAUGGCGACUAUUGAAAAACAUCAAGAAAAGAAAUUUGGCUUUAGAGUACGAGUAACAGUGAAAGUCACACAAAGUCGGCGUGAAAUUUUGGAAUGGUUCCAAAAAAAAUUUCACGCAGGGCUGAUUAGAAAAAAUCGCACCACUUUUGACUGGCAAAUUAGAGACCAGAAAGCGGCGAUCGAUUUUUUGGAAAUUUUGUUACCGUAUCUCAAAGUUAAAAAGCUGCAAGCGCAAAAAGCGUUGCGUAUUUUGCGACGAACAAUCAAAAGUUCAUCGCAAUUACGGCAAGUUGCCGAUUUGGCGGAUUCAUUAUCACAUUUGAAUGUGCGGUCGCAAGGCCGUCGCAAGAAUUUUGUGACAAUGAUCCAGGAAAAUUGCUCCCGUAACGACUGAANNGAGCUGGGUUCAGAACGUCGCGAGACAGUUCGGUCUCCUAUCUGUCGCGGGCGCGGAAAUUUGAGAAGGCUCGUCUCUAGUAGACCCAAAAGGGUCCAUGCUACUUUCUCGAGUAAUUGAGAAUGACAAUUCAGCUAAUAACGGUGAAGUCUUAACAGUGUUUAUGGUUAUAGCUCACUUUUUUUGCGCGGUCUAAAGAAAAGUGGUAUAAUGUAUUUGAGGACCAUAAAUUAUUGUUUAAGAUAAUACCGUGGGAAGUCGAUCUAAAAUUAAAAAAGAAGAAUUAGCGUACCUUGCCGGCUUUUUAGACGGCGACGGCAGUUUAAUGCUUCAAAUCAAAAAACGCAGUGAUUCAAAAAGAGGAUGGCGUUUAAUGGCAACGAUCUGUUUUUAUCAAGAUUCUCGCCAUGACAUGCCAUUAUAUUGGAUGCGAAAAAAAUUGAAAAUAGGUUAUAUUUCGCAUCGUAAUGAUGGAAUGACAGAAUUGAGAAUUAAUGGAUUUGAUCAAGUAAAAAAUGUGGUCGGUCUGUUAUUUCCUUAUCUGCGUUUUAAAAAGAAACAGGCGCGGGUUAUAAUAAAAGCUUGCGUGUUGUUAGCUAGGAAACCUCUGAAAUUGCUCUCCAAAAAAGAGCUCAAUAUGAUUUGUAAUUAUUUAGUGAUUAUUCAGAAAAAUAAUUAUGCAACUCAUUCAAAAAAGAGUUUAGAGGAAUUAAAAUUAAUUUUAGGUUUGACCCCGUAACGACUGAUUUCUUUAAUACGGAAUUAAAGAAUGAGAUAGAAGUUGUGUAAAUUUAGCUUAAAACUUCUAUAACACGCUGACUCCGCCAGCUGGCGGAUGAAGAUAUAGUCUACACUUCUAGUGAUAGAAGAAUUAUGUGACGAGAGGACCGAGACGAAAGAACCUCUGGUUGAUGAGUUGUGGUACCAACCGCAUUGCUCAGUAGCCAAGUUCGGCACGGAUAAACGCUGAAAGCAUCUAAGCGUGAAGCCGUCUUCAAGAUUAAAUUUCAUAGACACCCUAUAGAUUAUGGGGUUGAUAGGUGGUAGGUGUAAGAUCCGUAAGGAUUUAAGCCGAGCCAUACUAAUCAGUCGUU